AUAUUUUAGGCCAUUCAGAGGCAAGGACAUCGUUAAAAGAGCACUCAGUAUGAUAGGUCCAAAUGCAUACAAUUUAUUUUGGAACAACUGUGAACAUUUUGCCACUUGGUGUCGAUAUGAUAAAAAAAGAUCCGGUCAGGUUGACAAGGCUUUAACUGUGUUUUCAGUAGUUGGAGGGAUCGCGGUAGCUGCAGGAUUGUUACACGAAAUGUUCAAAGACGAUGAAUGAAAUCGAACAGGUGAUACAGAUGUUUGCUGGUUCGUCACAAAUAUAUUUGGACAAUGUUUGAAGAAUACUGUUGUUGACCGAUAUAUUUAAGUUACAUCUUAAUUUAUUUUA
Mytilus californianus (California mussel) is the source of this 340-nucleotide long non-coding RNA. RefSeq lists it as uncharacterized. NCBI's taxonomy places the organism in Eukaryota, Metazoa, Mollusca, Bivalvia, Mytilida, Mytilidae. The transcript has 3 exons. The record is from RefSeq and is a predicted model, not a curated record.